UGGGGAAUUUUGCGCAAUGGACGAAAGUCUGACGCAGCAACGCCGCGUGGGUGAUGAAGGUCUUCGGACUGUAAAACCCUGUCGUCAGGGACGAAGGUACUUGCGUUAAUAGCGUGAGUGCUUGACGGUACCUGGAGAGGAAGCCCCGGCUAACUCUGUGCCAGCAGCCGCGGUAAUACAGAGGGGGCAAGCGUUAUUCGGAAUUAUUGGGCGUAAAGGGCGCGUAGGCGGUUUUUUAAGUCAGAUGUGUAAUCCCCGAGCUCAACUUGGGAACUGCAUCUGAGACUGGAAGGCUAGAGUACUGGAGAGGGUGGUGGAAUUCCUCGUGUAGCGGUGAAAUGCGUAGAGAUGAGGAGGAACACCAGUGGCGAAGGCGGCCACCUGGACAGUAACUGACGCUGAGGCGCGAAAGCGUGGGGAUCAAACAGG
Molecule: ribosomal RNA, 429 nt
Filed under: uncultured bacterium
Lineage: Bacteria
Description: bacterial SSU rRNA
Rfam family: Bacterial small subunit ribosomal RNA
Source: RNAcentral